GCACCCGUCGUUCAACGGAUAGGACACGGGAUUGCGGAUCCCGCAAUGCAGGUUCGAUUCCUACCGGGUGCA
RNAcentral lists this transfer RNA (72 nucleotides) under Candidatus Uhrbacteria bacterium. Its description in RNAcentral is "tRNA-Arg". It matches the Rfam family "tRNA". Rfam says of the family: Transfer RNA (tRNA) molecules are approximately 80 nucleotides in length. Lineage: Bacteria; Candidatus Uhriibacteriota. The record is from RNAcentral.